Molecule: unclassified non-coding RNA, 2312 nt
Filed under: Leishmania donovani
Lineage: Eukaryota; Euglenozoa; Kinetoplastea; Trypanosomatida; Trypanosomatidae
Description: gene:LdHU3.02.0080(CDS-product:cytochrome_b-domai n_protein_putative)
Source: RNAcentral
CUCACGGAACGCACUUUCCCUUAUUUCGUGCAUUCGUUGCCUUGCACAGCGAAACACCCAGCGGUGACACCCCCAUCCCCCUCUAUCCCUUUCUCUCCACAGGCACGCACGCCAGUAGCCAUAAAGCCGCAUAUGCAGUUUCCCACACCCAGUGAUUCGCCUUCCUCGCUUGUUAUUCUUUCCAUACGUUGUACCCGGCACAUUGGCCGAGCCGUUGAGUAGCGCUGAUGCCGGCAGUCUACACCAGGGAUCAGGUGGCGGAGCACAACAGCAAGGAGAGUGGCUGGCUCAUCAUCAAUAACGGCGUGUACGAUGUGAGCGAUUUCUACGACGACCACCCUGGAGGUCGCGACAUUCUUCUCGCUCACAUUGGCACCGAUGCCACGGAGGGCUUCGAGGCGGUAAACCACAGCAGAGGAGCCAUGCGCAGGCUAGAGAAGCUCAAGGUUGGCGAGCUGCCCGAAAACGAGCGUCGCCGCUACAUCACCCUGGAGCAGGUCGCUGCCAAAAAGUCGGCUGCCGGCGCGUGGCUCGUCAUCCAUAACAAAGUAUACGAUGUCACCCCGUUUCUGGACCUGCAUCCCGGCGGCCGCGACAUCUUGCUCUACAGCGCCGGCGGUGACGCGACGCAGGCCUUCACGGACAACGGGCACAGCGACACGGCCUAUCAAAUGAUGGGCAAAUACGUCGUUGGCGAUCUGGAGCCGAGUGAGCGCAAGACGCUCGUCAACCGAAAGGCCACAGGCGCGAAACAGGCAGCUACGACGCAGAUGCUUCACGUGAAGAACGAGAACGCAUCCCUCCUUCUCCACAUUCAGGAGCAGCUGAGGCUGCUCAUGGCUCUGGCACUAUUCGUCAUCGCGGGCGUCUUCCUUCUCAGCUAGAGUGAUAACGAAAGGCGGAAGUGCAACGCUGCCCCAGCCACCGGGUGCGCUCGUGCGCACCCCUGAGGCGGUCUGUGAGAGAAGCCGACUGUAGUGCGGCUGCCCAAUACUCGGCUGUACACAAACACGCGAAGGGCGGAAGGCAUGCAAGCAGCGUGGGUGCGAGAGGAAUGGAGGGUGUGAGGGGACUGCGACGAAAGAAAAGAUGCGGAGAAGGCCGAUAAACAGCAGCAACUCAAAGUAGGCGCCUUUUCAUGUCUGCGCGCGUGGCGGUGUCCGGUGGUCCUCAUUCUCCUGCACGUGGUCUCUCCCUCGCCCGGUGCUCGCUGGCCACAUGAGUCUCCGGCAUUUUGUUUGCUUUAUUUCUUUGUUGUCUCUCGUUCCGCCCGUCGACCCCCCCCCUUUUUAACCCGACCUGCGGCGUUCUCUCGUCAUCGUCGCCAUCGUCGUCUCUCUUCGAGUGUGUGUGUACUGCUGUCUCUGUGUCCGUCUGUGUUGCUCUCACUUUCGCAUCGCAGCUCCGCGCGUCCCCUCCCGCCGCGCUUUCAUGCUUUGCUCUCGUUGAGGUGAAGCGCUGGACACACGCCUUACGGCAAAAAUCCGCCCCUCCCCCCCUCCCCGCACCCGACGCCGUCGGCGGAGCACCGCCUCCGCCCCCAAAACGCUGCCCACACACAUCCACCUAGCCGCUCCGCUGGGCGGCCUCACACCCGCUCCCCAAUCAUGCCGGCCACCACCCCUGGUGCAUCCCGCCCCGCCCCAUCGCGGGGGCUCAGGCACCCCGCACGAGUGGGCCGUGCGAGGGCCGCGGGUGUGGGCCGCGCUGGCGCGUUGCCCAUCAUAUGGAUGGCGCAAGCGUGCUCACCGCCGGCAUCUGCUGCGAUGGAUCGCGUUAUCCUCGCCACGUCGCAGGCGCCGGGCCCCAUCAUGACGAGAGGCGGUUCGGCAUGGGCGUGGGAUAGGAGGGGGUGGGGGAGUGCACCGGGCCCUGCGAUACCGCACCCUGAGGCUUAUGUGUGUCCUCCGCACCCCCCCCCCCCGGUUAUGAAGGACGAAGAAUAAAGGAGGAGAAGAGGUGCCUCAAGCUCUUCUCCCCCCUCUCCCCCAAAGCAAACGAAGCGAGCAGGCCGGGGCGGACACACCGUAUUCCGUCUGUGAGGAGCAGUGGUGCUCAGCAGGGAUGCAGCAGCGGGCUUCUUCGUCACGCUCAGGCUGUGCGUGCGGAUGCCUGUGCUGCUGCGCUAUCUUGGUUUCUCAGCUGAGGCACUGCCGCCAACAUCACUGCAUCCCGCGCAUGCUAAAGGCACGGGACGUGGAAGCGGCUCGGCAAAGUCUCCGUGUGCGGGGAAGAAUGGAGUGAUGAGCACGGCACGCGUACGUGUGUGUCUGUGUGCGUUGAGCUCUCUGUGUGAGAACGCCAGUGAGGAU